CACCUUCCGGGAAGUACAAAUUUCGAAUAAAUUAAUUUAGCAAUAACUACAGAAAUCCAACAAAACAGAAAAAGAGGAAAGAGAGGGUAACUGGGGCCUGCACACUCCUUGCUAAGGAAGCUAUACACUUUUUCCGAAGUGAGUAUCCUCACAGGCUUUGAUUUUGCACUCUCUGUUUAGUUUCCCACUUCCAAAUUGCAAAGGAGAGAAGAAAGAUGAUGAAGAAUCAGGGCAAGCAUGUUACUUCGUUGACCACGACACGUUUGUCGCCACUUGCCAAACCCUUCACGCUCAACCGUUCAACCCUCCAACCUUGUUCAAAUUCUCUUUUUUCAGGGUACCCUUUUCUUGAAUCACCAAAAAAAGGCGACUUUGAUGGGUUUGGGGAGGAUUUUUCCUUACCCACUUACUCACCCUUAGGCCAUGGGAAACAAGGGGAGGAUUCUCAUGAGAGUUUGUUUGCCAACGGAAGUGAUCUUGCUGACUCGACCAUGUUUAAGGAAGGUAACCAAGCUGUUCAUGGGUUGAGUCCUUUCCUAACAGAGUCUGCCAGUACUGGUACAGUUGUAGCAGAAAGCCUUCUGUCAAAUUCUAAAGGCACAACACUUGUGGACGAUGAAUCUAGCAUUUUUCCUCUUUUUAAUUGCAAGGUUUCCUCUCUCAAAUCAUUAACAACAGAUAUGUCCUCUGCUAAACAUACUUCUCUGAAUCAGUCUUCAACAAAUUUGGUUGAAAAUGACUCUGAUGUGGAUUCUCCUUGUUGGAAGGGAACCAUGGCUUUUUGUCAAACUCCAGUAGAAAAUUCAGGAUCUAUACAAACUAAUAAUGUAGAGAAAGCAACAGAAAAACAUAACAGUUUAAACCCGUUGGCUCCUCAGUUCUUUCCUCGUAUUGCAUAUGUUAAGGAUGAUUUUGGAUCUUCCAAUUCUGGUUCACCUGUAGCUACUAAUGUUUUCCCCGGAGAGCAUAUGCUCAAGAAAACUGUUAUGGCUGAAUCCCCUGUAGAACUGAAUACAGGGAUUGACCUUCAGCCUUCUAGUAACACCUGUAGAAAGGAAAAGGCAUCUAACACCAUUAAUGAUCCAAAAAAUAGCUAUUUGGAUCCUGCUCUAAAUUUGCAUUGUAAGGUGACACAACCUUCCUCUAAAGAAGAUUGCUCAAUGUCCAUAGGAAAACUUGAAGCUGUUGUGGAUGCAGAUAAUUUUGCCGAGAGAACUAAAGAUCCCAGGGUUUGUAGGUCAAUCAGUGAUGCUUUUACUACAAAGAGCUGUUCUCCAAUUUCAACUCUGGCAUCAUCGUCAUCGAGGGUUGCUGUUGUUACUGAUCUUCUGAAAACAUUUGAAGGUAUUUCAAAGUCCUUAAGUAAAGCUCCAACACCUGAUGUUGGGAUAGUGGUCAGUGCAAUACAUGUUCUUUCAGAAUUGCUGGUGCAAACAUCCAUGGAUGGAGUAGGCCCAAAUAAUGAACAUGGUCAUGAUGAGAUUAUGAUCGAGCAAAUAAUCAAUAAUCUAAAUGAUUUUAGCGCAAAAAGAUGUGUCCAAAGGAUUUCAACCCUUGAGUCAACUGCAGAUAAUCCAUUUUGUCAUAAUAGGUCAUUGGAGCUUCCCAAGGGACUUGAGAUGACAAGUAUAGAGAACCUUAAUGAUCCAAACAAACUUCAUUCACAAAAUGAUUAUACGAAAAAGAAAACAGUUUAUAAAAUGUUUGGUCAGAGUGGAAAGAGUUUUUUGGCCCCUAGCAGUGAUAAAGGCCAUGAAAUUGCUCAGCUUCAGGUCAUUCGGAGAAGUCUAGGGAAAAAACUGGAUUUUGAUAAACACAUGCAUCCAGAGGCUUUACUGUUUUUGAACUUAUGGCUUGAUUCUGAAGCAGAACGAUGUUUUAGCAAAUAUGAAACCUAUCAUUGCCUUAUGGAAGCUGGGCUGGAUGUAAAUUGUACUACUGUUGCGAGUCCCCUUUAAUACACUUUUUCAACACUACUAGGUAAAAUUUAUGUAGGUGACAAUAAAUGAUAUUUGGGACUCAUUAAAAAAGGAAUUAUUGAGCUGAUGGCGCUUUGUAGAUUUGCAAGAGACGCAAUGGAUGCUGCAGUAAUCAGACAUUGUAAAUAUCAUACAUAUUUAUCAUCAGCUAAUUUGAGUACGAGUCUGUAAUUGUACAAAUGCAACAGAUUCACGAAAAUGCGAAGGAUUUGUUAUGUUUGAUGUACUUCUGUCAUGCCUAUAAAAACUUAUAAUUUUUGUUUGAUCUUGGGAAGUUUGCAAAUAGAUGGUAGCAUAUUUCUGUAAAUGACGUAAAUAUCAUGCUGUUAAAUGAUAACGUACUUGUUGAAUGCAUGAAGCUAUUCACGUCA
RNA transcript from Vigna radiata var. radiata (mung bean), 2350 nucleotides. RefSeq lists it as uncharacterized. Lineage: Eukaryota; Viridiplantae; Streptophyta; Magnoliopsida; Fabales; Fabaceae. The record is from RefSeq and is a predicted model, not a curated record. The transcript is spliced from 6 exons.